Molecule: ribosomal RNA, 253 nt
Filed under: uncultured bacterium
Lineage: Bacteria
Description: partial 16S ribosomal RNA
Rfam family: Bacterial small subunit ribosomal RNA
Source: RNAcentral
CACGUAGGGUGCUAGCGUUGUUCGGAAUUACUGGGCGUAAAGCGCACGUAGGCGGCUUUCUAAGUCGGGGGUGAAAUCCUGGAGCUCAACUCCAGAACUGCCUUCGAUACUGGAGAGCUCGAGUCCGGGAGAGGUGAGUGGAACUGCGAGUGUAGAGGUGAAAUUCGUAGAUAUUCGCAAGAACACCAGUGGCGAAGGCGGCUCACUGGCCCGGUACUGACGCUGAGGUGCGAAAGCGUGGGGAGCAAACAGG